AUACUUACCUGACAAGGGAGAUACCAUGAUCACGAAAGUGGUUUUCCCAAGGUGAGGCUUAUCCAUUGCACUCUGGAUGUGCUGACCCCUGUGACACCCAACUCCCAAGAGAAAAUAAAGGCACCUAAGGAAUAGUAAUAA
Molecule: small nuclear RNA, 141 nt
Filed under: Peromyscus maniculatus bairdii (prairie deer mouse)
Lineage: Eukaryota; Metazoa; Chordata; Mammalia; Rodentia; Cricetidae
Description: U1 spliceosomal RNA (ENSPEMG00000001692.2)
Rfam family: U1 spliceosomal RNA
About the family: U1 is a small nuclear RNA (snRNA) component of the spliceosome (involved in pre-mRNA splicing). Its 5' end forms complementary base pairs with the 5' splice junction, thus defining the 5' donor site of an intron. There are significant differences in sequence and secondary structure between metazoan and yeast U1 snRNAs, the latter being much longer (568 nucleotides as compared to 164 nucleotides in human).
Source: RNAcentral